CAGGCCUGUGAGCUUCACUUCUACAUCAUCUGAGGUCCUGGGAGGAGAUGUCAUGGCCUGGAUCUUGCUGUUCAGAUGCUGUGGUGAGAGCACAGCAAUGAGAGCUUAAAGGUAGGAUACCAACACCAAAGUAAAGAUUACUGCAACUUCUACCUUAGUGAACCAGUGAGCUUCUUGGCCUUACUCACAGGAACAUCGAUGGAGGUUGCCUAUUGGGGCAUAGAUGACCUCUCCAAACAGCCACAGCACUGAAAAGUCUCACCUCCACGUGUUUGAUGAAGUCCCCACAGGUGUUGUGUAUGCACAGAUGGAGUCUUCUCCUGGUUCACCUCUUACAUCCCACCUACUCCAGCACCUCCCAGCACUGCAGACCGCAGACACCGCCAGCCUGCCCGAGCAGCUGCACCGGCCUUUGGCUUUCUGUCAGUCAUCUUUUGAGAAAUGGAUAUGUCCAAAUAUUCGACGGGUCCAUAAUGGAUUGAAAUUGUUGUUCCAAAAAUCAUUCUCUUCCUGGCCAGAGUGGGAUUGCCUUUUACAUUUGCACCAAGCUAAGCGAAUGUUGAAUAGAUGGAAGAUCUCAAUGACCAUUCUAUACAAAUGAAUAGGCUCCUGUGAUGUAUAAAGA
Long non-coding RNA from Meriones unguiculatus (Mongolian gerbil), 625 nucleotides. RefSeq lists it as uncharacterized. The record is from RefSeq and is a predicted model, not a curated record. NCBI's taxonomy places the organism in Eukaryota, Metazoa, Chordata, Mammalia, Rodentia, Muridae. The transcript has 3 exons.